RNAcentral lists this transfer RNA (79 nucleotides) under Mycolicibacterium alvei. RNAcentral describes it as "tRNA-Pro". It matches the Rfam family "tRNA". Rfam says of the family: Transfer RNA (tRNA) molecules are approximately 80 nucleotides in length. Their secondary structure includes four short double-helical elements and three loops (D, anti-codon, and T loops). Lineage: Bacteria; Bacillati; Actinomycetota; Actinomycetes; Mycobacteriales; Mycobacteriaceae. The record is from RNAcentral.
CGGGAUGUAGCCAAGUUUGGUAAGGCACCUGCUUUGGGAGCAGGAGACUUCGCGCGUUCGAAUCGCGCCGUCCCGACCA